GGGCACCACUCGCACACGCUGAUUCCGCGUGCGCCGUCCACGCUCACCUGACGACUGCUCGCUACGUUUGCUUGGCC
This 77-nucleotide small RNA is filed under the name Xanthomonas vasicola. RNAcentral's name for it is "sX9 sRNA". It matches the Rfam family "Xanthomonas sRNA sX9". Lineage: Bacteria; Pseudomonadati; Pseudomonadota; Gammaproteobacteria; Lysobacterales; Lysobacteraceae. The record is from RNAcentral.